This 125-nucleotide small RNA is filed under the name Marmota monax (woodchuck). Lineage: Eukaryota; Metazoa; Chordata; Mammalia; Rodentia; Sciuridae. The record is from RNAcentral.
AGUGGGCGUGGUGGCGCACACCUGUAAUUCCAGCCUCUCUGAAGGUUGAGACAGGAGGUUCGCAAGUUCAAAGCCAACCUCAGCAAAAGUGAGGCACUAAGCAACUCAGUGAGACCCUGUCUCUA